RNAcentral lists this transfer RNA (87 nucleotides) under Candidatus Moraniibacteriota bacterium. Its description in RNAcentral is "tRNA-Ser". It matches the Rfam family "tRNA". From Rfam's summary of the family: Transfer RNA (tRNA) molecules are approximately 80 nucleotides in length. Their secondary structure includes four short double-helical elements and three loops (D, anti-codon, and T loops). Further hydrogen bonds mediate the characteristic L-shaped molecular structure. tRNAs have two regions of fundamental functional importance: the anti-codon, which is responsible for specific mRNA codon recognition, and the 3' end, to which the tRNAs corresponding amino acid is attached (by aminoacyl-tRNA synthetases). tRNAs cope with the degeneracy of the genetic code in two manners: having more than one tRNA (with a specific anti-codon) for a particular amino acid; and 'wobble' base-pairing, i.e. permitting non-standard base-pairing at the 3rd anti-codon position. The record is from RNAcentral. Lineage: Bacteria; Candidatus Moraniibacteriota.
GGAGGGGUCGCAUAGUGGUCGAGUGCACCACCUUGGAAAGGUGGCAUAUUGGAAACAGUAUCGGGAGUUCGAAUCUCCCCCCCUCCG